This 448-nucleotide ribosomal RNA is filed under the name uncultured bacterium. RNAcentral describes it as "partial 16S ribosomal RNA". It matches the Rfam family "Bacterial small subunit ribosomal RNA", at positions 330 to 793 of the family's 1533-position model. The record is from RNAcentral.
CCCAGACUCCUACGGGAGGCAGCAGUGGGGGAUAUUGCACAAUGGGCGCAAGCCUGAUGCAGCGACGCCGCGUGAGCGAAGAAGUAUUUCGGUAUGUAAAGCCCUAUCGGCAGGGAAGAAGAAAGACGGUACCUGACUAAGAAGCCCCGGCUAACUACGUGUCAGCAGCCGCGGUAAUACGUAGGGGGCCAGCGUUAUCCGGAUUUACUGGGUGUAAAGGGGGCGCAGACGGCGAUGCAAGCCAGGAGUGAAAGCCCGGGGCCCAACCCCGGGACUGCUCUUGGAACUGCGUGGCUGGAGUGCAGGAGGGGCAGGCGGAGUUCCUGGUGUAGCGGUGAAAUGCGUAGAUAUCAGGAGGAACACCGGUGGCGAAGGCGGCCUGCUGGACUGCGACUGACGUUGAGGCCCGAAAGCGUGGGGAGCAAACAGGAUUAGAUACCCGUGUAAG